This is a non-coding RNA of Chrysemys picta bellii (western painted turtle), 2158 nucleotides long. Lineage: Eukaryota; Metazoa; Chordata; Testudines; Emydidae. The record is from RefSeq and is a predicted model, not a curated record.
CAUCUUUCAGCAACUGAUUCCCUGUGGCUGUUGCUUCCCUAGUCGCAUUUUCUGCCUCCAUCACAAGAGGACACAUCCUGCUUUACCAGGGAAUGCCAAGACAAGCACCGACUGCCAGCAAAACGGGGUCCCAAUCUGAAGAGUUGAGGAAGAAUCCCACCCCAGAGAGGUAAAAGCUUGUGAUCUGUCACCUGGAGGGGUUGCACUCAGAGACUGCGAGGGCUGAAAGGUGCUGCUAGCCCUGAAUUGUGACAGCAGGUUGCUAGGUGAGUAGUGAUUUUAUCGAUGUUGCACCACCAGUUAGGAAAAAAAAAGUAGUGGGUCACAUUAUCCCAUAGUGUAACAUCAUUGUCUUCGGUAGGUUUACACCUCAGACUGCAGUGAAUUUGGCCAGUAUUUUGAAACCUUUUGUUUUGAUGGAUCCCUAUUGAAAAGAGGGUCUUGGGCAAAAAACACCUCCAGCAAUACUACAAGCAAGUCGCCUUUGAAAUGCUGGUGCAGCCAUCACACAGAAGUUGGAGCAGGGACUAACAGCUGCCCAGCUGCAUGAAAAAAAUCAAAACCUACUUGCAACCUACCAGCUCACCCACACGGGAUGGAGACAACCUCUGAUUGUUACCUGCUUAUUCUCCAAAAGGUUCUUGUCACUUGCAACAGUGCUGUGAUCCCCAUCACCAGUGAAGAUGUACCCUGGAGGUAAUAAUAGAUGGAUAGGGAGAAAAACUUGAAUCACAAAAUAAGGACAUCUGGAAGAAAGGAUUUCAGAGGACCUAGUAAUGGAGACACAAAGGAUGAAAAAUAGUUUGAAGGAGAACAACAAGGAAAACAAGAUGCAGCAGGAUAUGGGAGGAAAAGUAGGAAAUAGGAAGACUAAAGGAAAAGGAGGGAAAAGAACAUUGAGCUUGAUAUUCAAAAGGGUAGAAGCUUAGGGCCAAUUUCUCACCUAACGUGCACCUGCAAUCCCUGUGAAUUGCUCAUGAUACUGAACACCUACUUGCUCUAAUAUCCAUUUAUGCAUUUUGUAUGAAAAUUAGGCUUGUAUUUGCAUACAUAUUUUCUCCACAUGACCCUGGACUUCUGCCUUUUUGAAAAUCAGGUCCAGCACAGUGGUUUUCUUUUCUUUAAGUUCCAUGGUAAAUUCUCUUAUGCAUCUGCUUUUAAUCUAUGGCAUCAUGGUGAUUUAGUCACUGCUACCAAAAAAACCCAAAUCCAAAAACAAACAACCUGAACAUUUCCCUGGUUUUUGGCUAUCUUAGUUUCUUCUCCAGUCUGGCCUCCUUUUGAGGCCAUUGAUCCCCCUCAAUUUAAUUUGGAUAAAUUGACAGGCAUAAAUCUUUGUUUUACUUUCUCCAGAUCCUAAUCUCCCAAAGGGUCGAGGUUGCUUGGCUCUGGGAUUUUGGUUUGGAUCUUUCGGUAAUAGUAAGAUACUCAUACAGUCAUUUACAAAUAUUUACAUAUUGAUAAGAUCUGUGUUUAAUUUCUUCACAUUACCUUCCUACUGACCUCUCCCGCUACUCAGCCACCAACACAUCCCCUUUGCCCCUCUCUGCUUAUUUCUCUGUGGCUACUCCUUCCUGUCCUAGCUCUCCACAACCCCACCUUCCCUUUUCUGGCAGCUUGUCUCUUCACAAAUGGUAUGGCCAGGCCUGAGCCGAAGCCUGUGCAGUCUCUAGGCACAAGUGGGAGUGUUAAGGAGACACUGUGUUUUGCCAAAAUGGUUGUUGGUAUUGCAUUUCAGGUUGCCUUAAUGCUUGGUCUGUAAACUCAAAUUAAUUGCUGCCUGUAGCCACUAGAUGUCACUAGAGCAUCAUUAACUGUUCUAAUUUUUUGUUUACCUAAUUUUUGUUUGUUUUUUUACUAUAUCACUACAGCCAUAGCACCAUCUAUUUGAAAUUCAUGUUUGUGUCUGAAAUUGUUGUACCGUCACUAGUUACAGGCAACACCCCAGGUUAAUAGAAGUGAAAGAAGUUAGGGAUAAACAUUAUUUCCCUCUCUUUUCCCAGUUUGUUCCCUUGUUUGCAUUUGACAGAACUUUAUGUAUAGUCCGUUUCUGUUGUCUCCCUUGUACACUCAGGUAAAUAGUCAAUUUCACGCUGGUUGAAAUGAUCUAUUAUGAUUAGACCUGUACAAAUAUUUUUAAAGAAAAAUUCAGGACAAA